This 75-nucleotide transfer RNA is filed under the name Sphingomonas sp. RNAcentral's name for it is "tRNA-Val". It matches the Rfam family "tRNA". From Rfam's summary of the family: Transfer RNA (tRNA) molecules are approximately 80 nucleotides in length. Their secondary structure includes four short double-helical elements and three loops (D, anti-codon, and T loops). Further hydrogen bonds mediate the characteristic L-shaped molecular structure. tRNAs have two regions of fundamental functional importance: the anti-codon, which is responsible for specific mRNA codon recognition, and the 3' end, to which the tRNAs corresponding amino acid is attached (by aminoacyl-tRNA synthetases). tRNAs cope with the degeneracy of the genetic code in two manners: having more than one tRNA (with a specific anti-codon) for a particular amino acid; and 'wobble' base-pairing, i.e. permitting non-standard base-pairing at the 3rd anti-codon position. RNAcentral also lists the same sequence under 2 other names. Lineage: Bacteria; Pseudomonadati; Pseudomonadota; Alphaproteobacteria; Sphingomonadales; Sphingomonadaceae. The record is from RNAcentral.
GGGCGGUUAGCUCAGCGGUAGAGCGGCUCGUUUACACCGAGCGGGUCGGCGGUUCGAUCCCGUCACCGCCCACCA